GACGAACGCUGGCGGCGUGCCUAACACAUGCAAGUCGAACGGAAAACAUAGCAAUAUGUUUUUAGUGGCGAACGGGUGAGUAACGCGUAGACAACCAACCUUUUUGUGGGGGACAACACUUCGAAAGGAGUGCUAAUACCGCAUGAGCUCCAGAUGCCGCCUGGUAUUUGGAGGAAAGGAGCUUCACGGCUUCGCAAAAAGACGGGUCUGCGUCUGAUUAGCUAGUUGGAGGGGUAACGGCCCACCAAGGCGACGAUCAGUAGCCGGUCUGAGAGGAUGGACGGCCACACUGGGACUGAGACACGGCCCAGACUCCUACGGGAGGCAGCAGUGGGGAAUCUUCCGCAAUGGACGAAAGUCUGACGGAGCGACGCCGCGUGAGUGAUGAAGGCCCUUGGGUCGUAAAGCUCUGUCAUCAGGGACGAACGGUCACGUCAGGAAAUGGGCGUGAAUUGACGGUACCUGAGAAGGAAGCCACGGCUAACUAC
This 488-nucleotide ribosomal RNA is filed under the name uncultured bacterium. Its description in RNAcentral is "bacterial SSU rRNA". It matches the Rfam family "Bacterial small subunit ribosomal RNA", at positions 28 to 504 of the family's 1533-position model. The record is from RNAcentral.